GACGAACGCUGGCGGCGUGCUUAACACAUGCAAGUCGAACGGAAAGGCCUGCUUUCCCUUGUGGAUUGCGGGUACUCGAGUGGCGAACGGGUGAGUAACACGUGAGUGAUCCGCCCCCAACUUGGGUAUAAGCCUGGGAAACUGGGUCUAAUUCCCGAUAGGACUGCAGGGUGGUGCCUGUGGUGGAAAACGAUUUUCUAGUGGUUGGGGAUGAGCUCGCGGCCUAUCAGCUUGUUGGUGGGGUAAUGGCCUACCAAGGCGGCGACGGGUAGCCGGCCUGAGAGGGUGGACGGCCACAUUGGGACUGAGAUACGGCCCAGACUCCUACGGGAGGCAGCAGUGGGGAAGAUUGCACAAUGGGCGGAAGCCUGAUGCAGCGACGCCGCGUGGGGGAUGACGGCCUUCGGGUUGUAAACUCCUUUCGACCGCGAGGAAGCCACCUGGUUGGAAGGGUGGUGACGGUAGUGGUAGAAGAAGCACCGGCUAACUACGUG
This 494-nucleotide ribosomal RNA is filed under the name uncultured bacterium. RNAcentral describes it as "partial 16S ribosomal RNA". It matches the Rfam family "Bacterial small subunit ribosomal RNA", at positions 28 to 507 of the family's 1533-position model. The record is from RNAcentral.